GAUGAAGAACGUAGCGAAAUGCGAUACGUAAUGUGAAUUGCAGAAUUCAGUGAAUCAUCGAAUCUUUGAACGCAUAUUGCGCUCUUUGGUAUUCCGAAGAGCAUGCUUGUUUGAGUAUCAGUAAACACCUCAAAGACUUCAAUUUGUUUUGAAUGGCUUUGGACUUGAGCAAUCCCAACACCAGUCUUUACGAUCGGUGGAGGGUUGCUUGAAAUGCAGGUGCAGCUGGACAUUCUCCUGAGCUAAAAGCAUAUUUAUUUAGUCCCGUCAAACGGAAUAUUACUUUUGCUGCAGCUAACAUAAAGGGAGUUUGACCGUAUUGGCUGACUGAUGCAGGAUUUCACAAGGGUCGGCAACGAUUCUUGUAAAACUCGAUCUCAUAUCAAGUAAGACUACCCGCUGAACUUAAGCAUAUCAAUAAGCGGAGGA
RNAcentral lists this unclassified non-coding RNA (429 nucleotides) under soil metagenome. RNAcentral describes it as "partial contains 5.8S ribosomal RNA, internal transcribed spacer 2, and large subunit ribosomal RNA". The stretch from base 1 to 120 matches the Rfam family "5.8S ribosomal RNA", at positions 35 to 154 of the family's 154-position model. The record is from RNAcentral.